This 76-nucleotide small RNA is filed under the name Xanthomonas bromi. RNAcentral's name for it is "sX9 sRNA". It matches the Rfam family "Xanthomonas sRNA sX9". Lineage: Bacteria; Pseudomonadati; Pseudomonadota; Gammaproteobacteria; Lysobacterales; Lysobacteraceae. The record is from RNAcentral.
GUGUACCAGUUGAACACUCCGGUUCCUCCGCACCGCCCGCACCCACCUGACGACCGCUCGCGACGUUUUGUGAGCC